Molecule: ribosomal RNA, 807 nt
Filed under: uncultured bacterium
Lineage: Bacteria
Description: bacterial SSU rRNA
Rfam family: Bacterial small subunit ribosomal RNA
Source: RNAcentral
GGAGAGGAAAGUGGANUUCCUAGUGUAGCGGUGAAAUGCGUAGAUAUUAGGAAGAACGCCAGUGGCGAAGGCGACUUUCUGGACGAAAACUGACGCUGAGGCGCGAAAGCCAGGGGAGCGAACGGGAUUAGAUACCCCGGUAGUCCUGNCCGUAAACGAUGGGUACUAGGUGUAGGAGGUACCGACCCCUUCUGUGCCGGAGUUAACGCAAUAAGUACCCCGCCUGGGGAGUACGACCGCAAGGUUGAAACUCAAAGGAAUUGACGGGGGCCCGCACAAGCGGUGGAGUAUGUGGUUUAAUUCGACGCAACGCGAAGAACCUUACCAGGUCUUGACAUUGAUGGACAGAACCAGAGAUGGUUCCUCUUCUUCGGAAGCCAGAAAACAGGUGGUGCACGGUUGUCGCCAGCUCGUGUCGUGAGAUGUUGGGUUAAGUCCCGCAACGAGCGUAACCCCUAUCUUAUGUUGCCAGCACUUUGGGUGGGGACUCAUGAGAGACUGCCGCAGACAAUGCGGAGGAAGGCGGGGAUGACGUCAAAUCAUCAUGCCCCUUAUGACCUGGGCUACACACGUACUACAAUGGGAGUUAAUAGACGGAAGCGAGAUCGCGAGAGGGAGCAAACCCGAGAAACACUCUCUCAGUUCGGAUCGUAGGCUGCAACUCGCCUACGUGAAGUCGGAAUCGCUAGUAAUCGCAGGUCAGCAUACUGCGGUGAAUACGUUCCCGGGCCUUGUACACACCGCCCGUCACACCACGAAAGUCGGAAGUGCCCAAAGCCGGUGGGGUAACCUUCGGGAGCCAGCCGU